UACGUAGGGUGCAAGCGUUGUCCGGAAUUAUUGGGCGUAAAGAGCUCGUAGGCGGUUCGUCACGUCGGCUGUGAAAUCCCGAGGCUCAACCUCGGGUCUGCAGUCGAUACGGGCGGACUGGAGUACUGCAGGGGAGACUGGAAUUCCUGGUGUAGCGGUGAAAUGCGCAGAUAUCAGGAGGAACACCGGUGGCGAAGGCGGGUCCCUGGACAACUCCUGACACUGAGGCACGAAAGCUAGGGGAGCAAACAGG
This 253-nucleotide ribosomal RNA is filed under the name uncultured bacterium. Its description in RNAcentral is "partial 16S ribosomal RNA". It matches the Rfam family "Bacterial small subunit ribosomal RNA", at positions 524 to 776 of the family's 1533-position model. The record is from RNAcentral.